UCCGGCUUAUCACCGGCAGUUUUCUCAGAGUUCUCGCCAUUACGCGUUAGCAACAGAGAAUGAGGGUUGCGCUCGUUGCGGGACUUAACCCAACAUCUCACGACACGAGCUGACGACAGCUAUGCAGCACCUGUGUUCCAGCCAGCCGAACUGAAGAAAGCCAUCUCUGGCGAUCAUACUGGACAUGUCAAACGUGGGUAAGGUUCUUCGCGUUGCUUCGAAUUAAACCACAUGCUCCACCGCUUGUGCGGGCCCCCGUCAAUUUCUUUGAGUUUCAGCCUUGCGACUGUACUCCCCAGGCGGCAUAUUUAACGCGUUAGCUCCGGCACGGACAGAAUGAACUGCCCACACCAAAUAUGCAUCGUUUAGGGCGGGGACUAC
This 381-nucleotide unclassified non-coding RNA is filed under the name uncultured bacterium. RNAcentral describes it as "contains 16S-23S intergenic spacer region". The record is from RNAcentral.